CCUACGGGAGGCAGCAGUGAGGAAUAUUGGUCAAUGGGCGUAAGCCUGAACCAGCCAAGUCGCGUGAGGGAUGAAGGUUCUAUGGAUCGUAAACCUCUUUUAUAAGGGAAUAAAGUGUGGGACGUGUCCUAUUUUGUAUGUACCUUAUGAAUAAGGAUCGGCUAACUCCGUGCCAGCAGCCGCGGUCAUACGGAGGAUCCGAUCGUUGUCCGGCUUUAUUGGGUUUAAAGGGUGCGUAGGCGGCCUUUUAAGUCAGCGGUGAAAGUCUGUGGCUCAACCAUAGAAUUGCCGUUGAAACUGGGGUGCGUGAGUAUGUUCGAGGCAGGCGGAAUGCGUGGUGUAGCGGUGAAAUGCUGAGAUAUCACGCAGAACCCCGAUUGAGAAGGCAGCCUGCCAAGCCAUGACUGACGCUGAUGCACGAAAGCGUGGGGAUCAAACAGGAUUAGAUACCCCAGUAGUC
This 460-nucleotide ribosomal RNA is filed under the name uncultured bacterium. RNAcentral's name for it is "partial 16S ribosomal RNA". It matches the Rfam family "Bacterial small subunit ribosomal RNA", at positions 338 to 795 of the family's 1533-position model. The record is from RNAcentral.